RNAcentral lists this ribosomal RNA (468 nucleotides) under uncultured bacterium. RNAcentral's name for it is "partial 16S ribosomal RNA". It matches the Rfam family "Bacterial small subunit ribosomal RNA", at positions 28 to 507 of the family's 1533-position model. The record is from RNAcentral.
GACGAACGCUGGCGGCGUGCUUAACACAUGCAAGUCGAACGGAAAGGCCCUGCUUUUGUGGGGUGCUCGAGUGGCGAACGGGUGAGUAACACGUGAGUAACCUGCCCUUGACUUUGGGAUAACUUCAGGAAACUGGGGCUAAUACCGGAUAGGAGCCCCUGCUGCAUGGUGGGGGUUGGAAAGUUUCGGCGGUUGGGGAUGGACUCGCGGCUUAUCAGCUUGUUGGUGGGGUAUUGGCUUACCAAGGCUUUGACGGGUAGCCGGCCUGAGAGGGUGACCGGCCACAUUGGGACUGAGAUACGGCCCAGACUCCUACGGGAGGCAGCAGUGGGGAAUAUUGCACAAUGGGCGGAAGCCUGAUGCAGCAACGCCGCGUGCGGGAUGACGGCCUUCGGGUUGUAAACCGCUUUCGCCUGUGACGAAGCGUGAGUGACGGUAAUGGGUAAAGAAGCACCGGCUAACUACGUG